GUGAGCAAAGUUUCGAGCGUUU
This 22-nucleotide microRNA is filed under the name Eisenia fetida (common brandling worm). RNAcentral describes it as "Efe-Mir-87-o17_3p (mature (guide))". Lineage: Eukaryota; Metazoa; Annelida; Clitellata; Crassiclitellata; Lumbricidae. The record is from RNAcentral.